This 460-nucleotide ribosomal RNA is filed under the name uncultured bacterium. RNAcentral describes it as "partial 16S ribosomal RNA". It matches the Rfam family "Bacterial small subunit ribosomal RNA", at positions 338 to 795 of the family's 1533-position model. The record is from RNAcentral.
CCUACGGGUGGCAGCAGUGAGGAAUAUUGGUCAAUGGCCGGAAGGCUGAACCAGCCAUGCCGCGUGAAGGUCAGUGCCCUAUGGGCGUUAAACUUCUUUUGUGCGGGAGCAAUAAUGGUCACGUGUGGCCAGACGAGAGUACCGUACGAAUAAGCAUCGGCUAACUCCGUGCCAGCAGCCGCGGUAAUUCGGGGGAUGCAAGCGUUAUCCGGAUUUAUUGGGUUUAAAGGGUGCGUAGGCUGUGAGGUAAGUCAGCGGUGAAAUGCCCCCGCUCAACGGGGUGAAGUGCCAUUGAUACUGCCUGGCUGGAAGGCGGAUGCCGUGGGAGGAAUGUGUGGUGUAGCGGUGAAAUGCAUAGAUAUCACACAGAACACCGAUUGCGAAGGCAUCUCACGAAUCCGCGAUUGACGCUGAUGCACGAAAGCGUGGGUAUCAAACAGGAUUAGAUACCCCAGUAGUC